This 1143-nucleotide ribosomal RNA is filed under the name Triticum aestivum (bread wheat). RNAcentral's name for it is "partial small subunit ribosomal RNA". The record is from RNAcentral. Lineage: Eukaryota; Viridiplantae; Streptophyta; Magnoliopsida; Poales; Poaceae.
AUGCCGCCGCCGCCGUCGCUGCCGGACGGAAUCGUCGAGGAUAUCUUCCUCCGCCUUCCGCCGGACGAGCCCGCGUGCCUCGUUCGCGCCUCCCUCGCCAGCAAGCUCUGGCUCGGCCAUCUCACCGGCCCUCGCUUCCGCGGCCGCUACCGCGAGCUCCAUGGAGCGCCCCCCAUGCUGGGCUUCCUUUACGAUUGGUUCUGGGACUACGUGCCGGAGGAGAAAGAUGCCGUCCCGCGCUUCGUCUCCACCACGGGAUUCGGCGCGCGCGUCCCCCCCGACCACCACUGGGGGGACUCGGGCUCGGACUACAACGCGUUGGACUGCCGCCAUGGCCGCGUUCUCCUCGGGGAUUAUGGCGCGCCCAUUCCGCUCGUCGUUUGGGACCCCAUGACAGGCCGCCAAACCAAGAUGGAAGCGCCCAAAGGACAGGAUAUCGGCAGCGGGGCCGCGGUGCUCUGUGCCGUCACCGGCUGUGACCACCGCGCGUGUCAUCAGGGCGCCUUCAGGGUCGUCGUCUUCGGCAGCAUGACCACCCAUGUUUAUCAUCCUGUUACUAUUAUACAGGUGUGCGUGUCCUCGCCGGAGACGGGUGAGUGGAGCCAGCCGUGCCCUGGUCUUGAUCUCGGAGUUGACGCAUUCAUCAUGCCGGUGCCCCCUGUCGUCAUCCGAGAUGCAGUUUACUUGAUGCAUGCGCGUGGUGAGCAUGAUCACAUUGCAGGAAUUCUCAAGUACGACUUGGGCUCUAAUUGCUUAUCGCUGAUUGACAUGCCCCUGCCGGGGGCUGUCAAUGUCGGCGACGUCAUCCUCAUGGCCAUGGAGGAUGGCAGCUUGGGGCUUGCACAUGCCAGUGGAUCAACCCUCUACCUGUGGUCAAGCUCAAGCCAGAUGGGUGUUGCGACAUGGACUCAGCGUAGAGCCAUCGAUCUCAAAAGCCUUCUUCCCAUUCAAAAUCCCAUGGAAGGACUUAGACUGAUUGGAUCCAUGGAAGGCAGUGAUAUCAUCUUCGUGCUUACGGACCUUGGCAUCUACCAGAUUAAUCUUAACUCACUACAGUGGAACAAGAUAUGGAAGAGACAGAAAUUCUUUGCUUUGAUUCCGUACAUGAGUUUCCACAAUCCACAAGAAAGGAUGACCCCCUGA